Molecule: ribosomal RNA, 800 nt
Filed under: uncultured Bacillota bacterium
Lineage: Bacteria; Bacillati; Bacillota
Description: bacterial SSU rRNA
Rfam family: Bacterial small subunit ribosomal RNA
Source: RNAcentral
CAAGUCGAACGCGAAAGUGGAGCAAUCCAUGAGUAGAGUGGCAAACGGGUGAGUAACACGUGGGUGACCUGCCUUCGAGCGGGGGAUAACGUCCCGAAAGGGACGCUAAUACCGCACGACAUCCUGCCUUUGAAGAGGCGGAGAUCAAAGCUGGGGAUCGCAAGACCUAGCACUCGAAGAGGGGCCCGCGUCCGAUUAGCUAGUUGGUGAGGUAAUGGCUCACCAAGGCAACGAUCGGUAGCCGGCCUGAGAGGGCGGACGGCCACACUGGGACUGAGACACGGCCCAGACUCCUACGGGAGGCAGCAGUGGGGAAUUGUUCGCAAUGGGCGCAGGCCUGACGACGCAACGCCGCGUGGAGGAUGAAGAUCUUCGGGUCGUAAACUCCUUUCGAUCGAGACGAACGGCCCCUGGGCUAAUCACCAGGGGAGUGACGGUACCGAGAGAAGAAGCCCCGGCUAACUCCGUGCCAGCAGCCGCGGUAAUACGGGGGGGGCAAGCGUUGUUCGGAAUUACUGGGCGUAAAGGGCUCGUAGGCGGCCAACUAAGUCGGACGUGAAAUCCCUCGGCUUAACCGGGGAACUGCGUCCGAUACUGGAUGGCUUGAGUGUGGGAGAGGGAUGCGGAAUUCCAGGUGUAGCGGUGAAAUGCGUANAUAUCUGGAGGAACACCGGUUGGCGAANGCGGCAUCCUGGACCACGACUGACGCUUAGUGAGCGAAAGCCAGGGGAGCAAACGGGAUUAGAUACCCCGGUAGUCCUGGCCCUAAACGAUGAAUGCUUGGUGUGGCGGGUAUCGAU